GCUUUGGCAAUAUGUAUAUACUAAAACUGGAACAAUGCAGAGAAGGCCAGCGUGGCUCCUGCACGAGACGACGCAUAAAUUCACGAGAUGGUCACUAUCCUU
Bos indicus x Bos taurus (hybrid cattle) is the source of this 102-nucleotide small nuclear RNA. NCBI's taxonomy places the organism in Eukaryota, Metazoa, Chordata, Mammalia, Artiodactyla, Bovidae. The record is from Ensembl.